UUAAAGGAAUUGACGGAAGGGCACCACCAGGAGUGGAGCCUGCGGUUCAAUUUGACUCAACACGGAGAAACUCACCAGGCCAGGACACUCGAAGGAUUGACAGAUUGAGAGCUCUUUCUUGAUUGGGUGGGUGGUGGUGCAUGGCCGUUCAUAGUUGGUGGAUCGAUUUGUCUGCUUAAUUGCGAUAACGAACGAGAUUCUAGCCUACUAACUAGGCGAUCCCGGCUUCCUUGGCGCAGUCGGCGGACAACUAUCUUCUUAGAGGGACAGGCAGCGUCUAGCUGCACGAGAAUGAGCAAUAACAGGUCUGAGAUGCCCUUAGAUGUUCUGGGCUACACGCGCGCUACACUGAAGGGAUCAAUGUGUAAUCUCCUAGCCCGAGAGGGCCGGGUAACCCGUUGAACCCCCUUCGUGCUUGGGAUUGGGGCUUGCAAUUAUUCCCCACCAACGAGGAAUUCCCAGUAAGCGCGAGUCAUUAACUCGAGUUGAUUACGUCCCUGCCCUUUGUACACACCGCCCGUCGCUACUACCGAUUGAAUGAUUUAGUAAGGUCUUCGGACCAGGGCUCGGCUUCUUCACGGUCGCCGGUGACCCCGGGAAUUUGACCGAACUUGAUCAUUUAGAGGAAGUAAAAGUCGUAACAAGGUUUUC
Molecule: ribosomal RNA, 651 nt
Filed under: Rumea guyanensis
Lineage: Eukaryota; Metazoa; Arthropoda; Insecta; Orthoptera; Phalangopsidae
Description: bacterial SSU rRNA
Rfam family: Eukaryotic small subunit ribosomal RNA
Source: RNAcentral